GGGAGCAUAGCUCAGCGGUCAGAGCAGGGGUCUCAUAAACCCUUGGUCGCAGGUUCGAAUCCUGCUGCUCCCA
RNAcentral lists this transfer RNA (73 nucleotides) under Phycisphaerae bacterium. Its description in RNAcentral is "tRNA-Met". It matches the Rfam family "tRNA". From Rfam's summary of the family: Transfer RNA (tRNA) molecules are approximately 80 nucleotides in length. Their secondary structure includes four short double-helical elements and three loops (D, anti-codon, and T loops). Further hydrogen bonds mediate the characteristic L-shaped molecular structure. tRNAs have two regions of fundamental functional importance: the anti-codon, which is responsible for specific mRNA codon recognition, and the 3' end, to which the tRNAs corresponding amino acid is attached (by aminoacyl-tRNA synthetases). tRNAs cope with the degeneracy of the genetic code in two manners: having more than one tRNA (with a specific anti-codon) for a particular amino acid; and 'wobble' base-pairing, i.e. permitting non-standard base-pairing at the 3rd anti-codon position. Lineage: Bacteria; Pseudomonadati; Planctomycetota; Phycisphaerae. The record is from RNAcentral.